UCACCUGCCGAAGCAACUAGCCCUGAAAAUGGAUGGCGCUCUAGCGUCGUGCCUAUACCGGGCCGUCAACGGCAAAGCGGGCCAGUGCCCCGUCCGGCUUACGCCGCGGCGGGCUUGGCCGUUAAGCCUUGACGAGUAGGAGGCGCGCGGCGGUGUGCGCAGAAGGGUCCGGGCGCGAGCCUGCCUGGAGCCGCCGUCGGUGCAGAUCUUGGUGGUAGUAGCAAAUACUCUAGCGAGGGCCUGGAGGGCUGAUGUGGAGAAGGGUUUCUUGUGAACAGCCGUUGCACAAGAGUCAGUCGACCCUAAGCCCUAGGAGAAAUCCGAUGUUGAUGGGCAGCGAUCACGCGGCCGGUUGUUGCGAGCGGCGUACGUGCUAGGCGCGUACGCGCCGUACGGCCAACCGACUGCUCCCGUCGGGCGAAAGGGAAUCCGGUUCCUAUUCCGGAACCCGGCUGCGGAACCGUCACUUCGCGGGCACUCGCCUGCGAGCGCUCGUCGGGGUAACCCAAAAUGACCCGGAGACGCCGGCGGGAGGUCUGGAAAGAGUUGUCUUUUCUUUAUAAGCGUUCGAGUUCCCUGGAAUCCUAUAGCAGGGAGAUAGGGUUUGGAACGCGAAGAGCACCGCAGUUGCGGCGGUGUCCGGACCUUCCCCCCGGACCUUGAAAAUCCGGGUGAGGGCUACGCGGAAAUGUCGCGCCGGCUCGUACCCAUAUCCGCAGCAGGUCUCCAA
RNAcentral lists this ribosomal RNA (730 nucleotides) under Darwallia barbata. Its description in RNAcentral is "eukaryotic LSU rRNA". It matches the Rfam family "Eukaryotic large subunit ribosomal RNA", at positions 1290 to 1870 of the family's 3401-position model. Lineage: Eukaryota; Metazoa; Arthropoda; Insecta; Hemiptera; Issidae. The record is from RNAcentral.